GUUAGGAAUAUUGGACAAUGGGCGAAAGCCUGAUCCAGCCAUGCCGCGUGAACGAUGAAGGCCUUCGGGUUGUAAAGUUCUUUAGCCGAUGAUUAUAAUGACUGUAGUCGGAAAAUAAGCCCCGGCUAACUUCGUGCCAGCAGCCGCGGUAAUACGAAGGGGGCGAGCGUUAUUCGGAAUCACUGGGCGUAAAGCGUGCGUAGGCGGUUUUGUAAGUUAGGAGUGAAAGCCCAGGGCUCAACCUUGGAAUUGCUCUUAAAACUGCAAGGCUCGAAUCUCGGAGAGGAUAGCGGAAUUUCCAGUGUAGCAGUGAAAUGCGUAGAUAUUAGAAGGAACACCAGUGGCGUAAGCGGCUAUCUGGACGAGUAUUGACGCUGAGGCACGAAAGCGUGGGGAUCAAACAGGAUUAGAUACCCUGGUAGUCC
Molecule: ribosomal RNA, 425 nt
Filed under: uncultured bacterium
Lineage: Bacteria
Description: partial 16S ribosomal RNA
Rfam family: Bacterial small subunit ribosomal RNA
Source: RNAcentral